ACGCGAAGAACCUUACCUACCCUUGACAUGUCGGGAAGUUUGUAGAGAUACAGACGUGCCUUCGGGAACCUGAACACAGGUGCUGCAUGGCUGUGGUCAGCUCGUGUCGUGAGAUGUUGGGUUAAGUCCCGUAACGAGCGCAACCCUUGUCCUUAGCUACCAGCACGUAAUGGUGGGAACUCUAAGGAGGCUGCCGGUGACAAACCGGAGGAAGGUGGGGAUGACGUCAAGUCCUCAUGGCCCUUAUGGGUAGGGCUACACACGUGCUACAAUGGUCGGUACAGAGGGUUGCCAACCCGCGAGGGGGAGCUAAUCCCAUAAAACCGAUCUCAGUCCGGAUUGAGGUCUGCAACUCGACCCCAUGAAGUUGGAAUCGCUAGUAAUCGUGGAUCAGAACGCCACGGUGAAUACGUUCCCGGGCCUUGUACACACCGCCCGUCACACCAUGGGAGUGGGUUGUACCAGAAGUAGGUAGGCUAACCGUAAGAAGGCCGCUUACCACGGUAUGAUUCAUGAGUGGGGUUAAAUAAGGUAAUUUUUAGG
This 543-nucleotide ribosomal RNA is filed under the name uncultured Pseudomonadales bacterium. Its description in RNAcentral is "bacterial SSU rRNA". It matches the Rfam family "Bacterial small subunit ribosomal RNA", at positions 959 to 1507 of the family's 1533-position model. The record is from RNAcentral. Lineage: Bacteria; Pseudomonadati; Pseudomonadota; Gammaproteobacteria; Pseudomonadales.